Molecule: ribosomal RNA, 265 nt
Filed under: uncultured bacterium
Lineage: Bacteria
Description: partial 16S ribosomal RNA
Rfam family: Bacterial small subunit ribosomal RNA
Source: RNAcentral
GUCCACGCUGUAAACGAUGAGUGCUAGACGUUGGGGGACCUAGUUUCCCAGUGUCGCAGCUAACGCAUUAAGCACUCCGCCUGGGGAGUACGGCCGCAAGGUUAAAACUCAAAGGAAUUGACGGGGGCCCGCACAAGCGGUGGAGCAUGUGGUUCAAUUCGAAGCAACGCGAAGAACCUUACCAGCCCUUGACAUGGGUGGACGGGAUUCAGAGAUGAAUCCCUUCUCGCAAGAGACCACUACACAGGUGCUGCAUGGCUGUCGU